UAUAGUCUAGUAUCCAAAUAAAUAUUCCAUGGCGCGGAAUUUGUGCUUACAAAUUGUGUUGGUUUAGCCAUUUAAUUUUUGAGGUUCUACCCGUGAUAAAGUUAAAUACUUAGGUUUGUUUCGGAACGUAUUUACAAAUUGUACUACCGGUGUAUAUGGAUAAUUGUAUUGGAAUUGUUGAGGGGUCUAUGACCCCACCUAUCUCCCCACGCCAUUUGGAGUGCUGGUAUGAUGAUCUGGUAGAUGAAUCUUUAUUGAUACAUCAUGAUGAAUUACUAGUAGGUGAUGUUGCACCAUCCUGUAUAUUUACUGAUUGCAGCGAUGCAGAUUCAGCAUACAACAGUGAAUGGAAAGCUUGUAAUACUGGGCACCUUCAUUGUCAAGUUCUUGCAAAAAUUCUGAGCAGUUUGGAUCCACACCCAAGUCUGUUUCAAGACACAAAGUGCAAGCUUUUUGGAAGUCACUUUGUCACUUCCUCUGGUUUGCUGGAUUCUACAUGUCUCAUUUUCUCCCUCGCAAAGCAGAAGAUAGGAAAACUUAAAUUAUCCUUGGAGAUGUUGGCACACAAAACUUCAACAGAUUCGGACAUCUCUGACUCCGCUAGCUUGAAGCACACCUGUGUUGUAUUCUUACAGUAUUUGAAAGUAUUUAUUCAUAGGCAUUACAAGUUUGAUGAAACAUCAGGAUGCAGGUACAACCAAAGACUCAACAACUUGCAUCCUAUUUUACUACAAGAGAUGGAGGGCCUGUCAAAUUACCUAGGCAAGGUUGCUGAUCUUCCAUCUAAUGUUCUCUCCCAGUACAUUUCAUCAGGACUAAAGAAGCAAAGUAUUGCUUACUUGGUCUUACACAUUGUCUUGAAUGUCAGAUGGGGUUUGAUAGAAUCCUUACACAUGCUUUACAGCAAAACAAAAGGCACAAUAGCGGAGAAUGAUGUCAACAACCUUUUAACGGCAGAAGUCAACAUAUUCAUAAAUGAUAUUGUAUAUAUUGCAAGAUUGCGAUUCAACUCAAUUUCAAGAAAGGACUUGAAGAAUGUGUCACCUUUUCCUUGUCCGUGUUUGCAAGAGUUUGUCAUUAUGCUUAUUCAUUUCCUAGAUCAACGUCAAUCUAAGUUUGGGACAGAAUCAUUUUGGUUUAUGUUUCAUGCAGCACUUGAAGCAAAUGCUGGGUUAAAUAAAAAAGGGAAUAUAGACCUAUGUUGGUGGCUACUGAUCCACAUAUCACCACUGUACAAGUACAAUCAAAAUGGUGAACUUCAAAAAUCCUCUACUUGUGUUCGCAGUAAUUGGCUGAUGGUUGGAGACCUUCUCAAGAUGACAUUUUCUCAAGAGUUAGGGCUUGAUGAAGAAUGUAUCCGAGUCCAUCUGCAGUGCUGUUUGUCCCUGUGUCAUGUUUGGGAGCCAAGCUCAAAGACAUUAGCUACCUUAUGGCAGUACAGUCACAAGAGAAUGAAUCAAGCAUUACUUAAGACAGAAAGAUCUCUUGAUGGUUUAGCAUCAAUAAGUAAAUCAGCACUGGGGUGGUUUGAUCAAACUAAACAAAGGGCAGCUGACCACACAGCCAGUCAAGACUCGGAUAACAGUUUUCAUCUUUUCCUGCGAAUCAUUGCUGUCCAGUUUGGGAAAAUGGAAGGCACAGAAAAGUUGCAAGGAUGGAAGCAACUCAAAGGAAGGUUGUAUUCCAAGUUCCAUAGUCGUAGUAUGCAGGAGCUCAAUAACAAUGGUUUGAGCCAUUUCAUCAGUCUUUUUCUGGUUUUAGCACAAACUGUGGAUUUAUCAGAUGCGAGUCACAAGAUGUUGGAUCUAUUGGAUAUGCUGUCAACAAAUUCAAUAUCUCAGAGCAAGCAACUUCUUAUUUGGAAAGGCUUGUUCACAUUAUGUCUAGUGCAUCAGGAAAAGCAGAAGGAUAUAUCAUUUAUCACUGAGAAACUCGUAUCAGCUUUUGACAACGUUUGCAGUGAGUUUUGCCACAAAGAUAAUGAUCUUAGUCAGCACCAUCACUUGUGGACACUAAUAACCUUAUACACAGAUGCGACUCAAGAUGUAUUUGACAACAGCAGCAACAACUUGUGUCUAUCAGAAGAAAAGCUAAUAGGCUCAGGAUUUUGUCAUCUCUUCCCAGCAUGUAAUGAGUCUGAAUUGAGGACCAUGCUUCAGUUCACAUUAAACCUGAUGGCAUGUCAAAGAAAUGUAUAUAGACGGUUAUGUCAGUCAGCUGGGAGUAACUUACUAACACAAGAACAACCAAAGAUAAACUUGCUGCAACAACAAGCAGAUUUAGUUCAACGACUGUGGACCAAUUUCUUUCCGUUUGUGAAGUCAACCUCGGCAAAUCCUAAACCAAGUUGUUUGCUUGCUGAUGUUGCUGCCAGUUUCACCAUGCUAGCAUCAGAUAUGGAAGAGAAUUCAACAGAACCACCAGAAAAAGUGUUGGAUAUAUUCAAUUAUUUUGGUGUAUCGGACACAACUGUACAUUCAAGUAUCUCAAUGCGCUACCUUUGUCAUAUUUUACCAAAUGCUGCUCUCAUGCAAAAAAUAGAGAAUCACCAUGGCACAGGCUACGAAGCUGCUGUCAUUCAUGCUUGGGUCAGGUGCUCAAUCUUGAGCAAUCAGAAGGCAGAUGAGCAACAGGAAUUCACUCGGCUGAUAUACAAAAUUCCAAGCAUGGCUGCCAUGGUGGAAGACAGAGGACAAUUAAACACAAAUGUGCCUGAAUUUGCCCAGUUUGUCCGGUAUUUAGGACAACGCUUCACCUCAGCACAGAACCUACAAGAGAAAAUACUGUUUCGCAAGAACACUCUGCAAGUGUUUGGUGACUUGGUGAAGCUCAUUCAGUUUGCUUUGAAGAAGUUUAAUGCAGCAGGCGGUGAACUCAAGUGGUUAUACCAAACCAUAGGCUACACAGUCAGAUAUUGCGCCCCUGUUCUCUAUGUUCAGAGCAAACCACACCAAUCACAGUUGCCAGGGUUGCUGAGUGAAUUACUGCUACCUCCGCUAAUCUUCAACCCCAACAAGACACUGCCAACAAAUAUGCUGAAUGCUAUAAAAGAAACGCUACACUUGUUUCUAGAGGGUCUGUCUACGCUGGACUUUCAGAAAGAUGGGUUCAUUCGACAGAAAAUGCAAGAAAUCAUCCAACAAUAUUUUGUUCGGUUUGCAACAAAAUGCUCCAUAAUGGCAAAUAGUAACAGUGUGACAGUUAAUCAUCCCUUAUUGGUUACACUGUAUCCAUCUCAACUAUGUCAUCCUACAGUACAGAUGAGCAAUUUACGACAGUUCAUGAUUGAAGUUUUGAGAGUACGUUUCAUGGUUCUGAAAGGCCAGCAGGCUCCAAGUCAAGCUUCUAAUGCACUUCAUUUUGUCCAAGAGUUAUUUAACAGAACAUUAGUAUCAGGUGAAACAGCAAGGAACACCCCACCUUUAUUAGGGACUAUAUUGAAUUAUUUGUUAAUGUGUGACAAUGGUGGUCUCAAAAGACAGGCAUCACAGAUUUUAGUGUCCAUGCUGGAAGCCUGCAAGAGCAAUGCUAAUAUGAAUCUCAACGAAGAGCUAUCUACUGUGCUGCAUACUUUUGUGGAUCGCAAUCUUCUUGUUCACCAGUCUUCCACCUUCCAAGUGCUGGAGAGUGUUGCUGCCCUUUACCCUGCAUUGUUGGAGGAUAUGAUUCCUUAUUUAAAUGAGAAGCUGGCCAAAUGUGAGAUGAAGAGAGGUGUUGGAACUGAUAAUAAACUCAGGAGGACCUAUAAAUCAUUGUUGACACAUCUAGGCCAACGAGGUCAGGCUACCAUAAACCAAAUCGAACAAGGCAGAGAGGUGUUAGAAUAUUGAUUCGAUGUGUUAGUCAAGAGAGAACAAGCACCUUCGUAUUGUAAAUUCAAUGUGAGCAUGAAGUGCAAUAUUGAUUAUCCUCUCAUCAGAGGUAAUAUCUCACCAUUGAACUUCAAAUUUUAUUCCCAACUUGGUUCAUUUCCUGAUUGUCUUUAACACGCCUUGACACAUCCUCUCCAAAAAGCAUAUCGGCGAGCAAAGAUGUAGAUGAUCCUUCUUCAAGUCAGAUUUCAUACAAUCCCGCCUUCUUUUAAAUUCAAAUUCCGAUAUGCAUUAGCCAGGAAGGGUCAAGGACCCUUUGGGUAUCUAUCAAUUAUGGGCAAUCCUUAUAGUUUGCUAUUUCAUUGACUAAGUAGGCCAAACAAGUCGAACCUCUUACCAGGCCAGUUAUUACGUCUAAAACCAACUUGUCUACUCUUUGACAUUUGAUAGAUGAUUGCAAUUUUCAGAUUUAUUUGUCUUUUUUGUGAAAUCAGUGUUUUUGUCCUCACUUGUACUCUCACAAAAGAGUGUAUUUUUAAUGGCAGCCAGAUCUUUGUAUAUGUUUACACCACAUUGUUCCUUAUCAAGGAAUUUCCCAACCAUAUCUAUAAACACGCUUGGGAAGACUAGCCAACCGCACAUCAGGAGGGUCACUCUCUAUGGGCUCCAUGACCUCCAUAUCAUUUGGUGCAUACUCAUAACAAAAGUUUUCAAGGUCUUCUAACCUAGACCCAAACUGCUGUUGGCCUUCUAGAAUGUUGGAUAAAAUUUUCAGAAUGGCUGCCAUUUUAGAUUUCUUAAGCCUAUAAUGAGUGUUAGUAGCAAUUCCAAUUGAACUACUAGCCACACGCUAGCACUAGGCAUAGACUCGAAAGAAUUAGGAUCAGCAGCACUGUCCAACUUUUAUUUGGCAAUUUUCGUAGGCCUAGAGAUUGGUGUGGUAGCAACGUCCACGAGUCUGUGGCCUAUAAAUUCAUCUGACGCCUUGAUUGUACAAUCGUAAAAUCUACCGGUACCUAUAUUAACCGGAUAGAAUAAACCCUUGAUAUUUACUGGUUGUAUUUAAAAAAACAGUUCACACUAUAGUGCCACCUAAUUAUAAAAUUUGAAAAAUGAAGCUUAACAAAAAACAUCCAUACCAUGUACAGCAAUUUUAUGUUGCUAACUGUGCACAUAUGCUUUAAUAUCUCAUGGGAUCCCUGAGUGUAUGAUGACAUACCUGUAAUAGAGUUGAAAAGUUAACAGAAAUAGGUCAGGCCACCUUAAACAAAUAGGAAUGACUUCUGCUGCAAGUGAAGUUUAUUGAUCAGAAACAGCAAACCAGUUUAAACAUAACAUGCACUUUCGAUAAUGGUCAAGGAGGUAGUUUCUUCCGUUAGCUCUCAGUGGCUGCAAAUGGAGGUGUGGUGGGUUGAGGUGGUGGUAAUUGCCUAGCAGGACAACCACACAGUGCAAACUCCACUUUGGAAAUACUUGAAUAAUCAAUAGGGACCUCUCCUAUUGUUUCGAAAGUCUGAUAGGAUGAUACCUAGAAUAACAGUCAGUGGCGUAAUGCAGGGACCCCAACCUUUAGGGGCCCCUAAACAUAGGGUCCUCGUCCUGGAUCUAGCACCUGGACACAAAGGGCCGCGAGGAACCAGUCUGAAUCUUAAGGUCCCUUAGAGACUCAGAACUAAUCAACUACUGUAGGCCUAAUCUAUCUACUCAUCUUCAGUAGGAGUGCCCCUGAGAAUCACUAUCGCUGAGAAGGGGGUCUGACGGGACCAGUGCCCCUGGCCCGGGACAAAACAAAAAAUCAAUAACGUUAAUAAUAUAGAAAACAAUAUUUUGAUCUACGUCUGAAAUUGUUUGAAUUAGGAAUUCUGAGCCCCACUAAGUACUUUUGCCAGCCUCCAGACCCCAAAUCUGGGGGACCUGCUAAGCAUGCCUAAAAUCAUUUGAUUGAUUGAUUUAAAGAAAAAUAUACUUUUUAAAAUAUUCUUUUUGAAAGUCCUUUUUGGGAUGUUAACAUAGGUCAAUAACCUAAUGAUAAGACAUACGGUAUCUUAUCAGCUUCAUUUUCCCACGAUUUUGAAAACCCUGUGUGUCUCAAAAAUUGAUAAUUUCCAUUCUAAUACUUAAUUGCAUCGGACUUAACUUUGAUAUUAUUCAGUAUUCAUCAACUAUGAAGCGGCAAUAUCAAUUCAGUUUGUCUUAUUAUUUUGAUGUACUGUCAUACUCUCUGACAAGUUUUCAUGCAUCAUGUAAUUUAAAAUUAUUGUUUUUGAUGACUAGUUUUCUUCUGAUACUUUCGUGGUUAAUACCAGCUAUUAUGACAUCUAAGAUUUGAUUCGCUUUGUCAGUGUAUUCACACUCUUCACCUUCCAAUUUGAUGCGUGUAUAGAAUGAAUCAAUAGUUUCUCCCAGAUUUUGGGUUAACGUUCUGACCUUAAAUCUAGCCACUCUGAAAUUGGACUUCACACAUGCCUAAUAUCUUGGCUUCGUCUGUGCCAAGUCCAUGUAUAUCUACGAACUAUAACAAAAGGUAAUUUACCUUGACUUUCUCUUACAAAGAAGCCCAUUGAAAAUAAUCUAGGCAGUUCACUUGAUUGAACUUCAGUUGAUAUUUGGCUAAGUACGAUACGAUACGAUAGAACCUUAUUCUCACAAUGGUGUAAAUACAGCUAUGAGAUAUCUAUGGAUCCUUAAAUACACUCAUAUUAGUUAAUAUAGAAAAAUAAUUAAAAUACAUAAAAGUUACCUGAAAUCCAAUUAGUCAUUGAUGGGCUGAUUCCCAGUAUUGUAAGCCAUCAUAUCCCAAAUUCUGACACCAUAUUAUUAUAGUGAUCUCAAUUCUAUUAGUUCAUUACGUUACAUGUGAAAACAUGACAAUGUCGUCUUCUCUUGUUGUGCGUGGUUCAUCAAAUACUGCAACAUGUAUAUCCCAAUCUGAGACGCCUUUGACUAACGUAUCUUUAAUGUCUUCAUCAUGACAAGGGAUGCUCAUUUAGCACAGAUGAGUGCAUGUCCUUGAAAUCGUCCAGCAAAUGCUUGAAUAGAUUCAUUGUGAUCCUGAGUCAUCCCUAGUAACUCUGUCCUCAGUACCAUAUUUUCAUCCUUUACGGCAUGAAGUUUUAUAGCAGCUAGAGAUUGGUUCUCUAUUUUUUUCAUAUAUUAAACCUCCUAGGUCUUUACAUAGGGUGUCGUCUAGGCAUUUAGGCAACUGAAAUAUUACGUUAGAGGUCUCAAGCCUAGUUGCUGCCAUGUAUUCGGCCCAUUUGGCUUCAAAGAAGGCCUAAUAUGCAGACCCAGCACCUGUAUGACAUCUUUACCAAACGAGGAACUUAUAAAAUAAUGCUGUGUAUGUCUCCGUUUAUAAGCCAAUUUAGCGGUAAAACAACCCAAUAUGUGAAUGGGAUCUUUAGUACAAGUCUAUAUCUGUACAUGACAUAGCUGUAAACGCCUCUCUUACAAAAUAACGGUUGAACCAUUUAGCAUUGAGCAUGUGAUACGUCAGAAGCUGUAUCUACAAUGAAUGGCAAACUAUAAUACCAUUUAACCCAAUAUUGUAUGUUACAUUGUUAGACAUGGUGCAUUUGUCAUUGGUACUAGUAUUUACCUUAGCAUUAGUGGUUUCAUGAUCAUUGUUAAUUAUCAUCUGAACUAAAAAGUCAUGUUCUGCCUCACUAUUGUCCUGCACCUCUCCUUGCACGUGUGUUCCGCAAAAUCAGCACUGUUGCCCGCUUGACCUAAGUUUUAACCUCCCGCUUUGCUGAUUCUGCCUGCACUACCAUGCGUUGCAACGACACUAUUUUCUCAACUAGCUGUUCCGAAUCUUUUCCCAAAUAAAGAACCAACAUCACAAUUCUUGGGUAGUUCUUUUAAUUAAAUUAUAUAUGCCUCAACUGGCUCACCUGUUGCCUGAGCUCUUUGGCGAAAUGUGUAUCGUACACUGACCACGUUUAAUUUCAGGCUGAAAUGGUUAUGCAGCAAAGACAUGGUUUUUCGAUACACAUCCUCAUCUUGUCGUACAGAUGCCUCAGACAUAAUGCAGGACUAGUACGAUUACUGUUUAACGUGUAGAAGACACGCUGGCCGCCAGCGCUGAGGCUCGUUUAUCAAUAGUGCCUCUCGAUGGGCCGCAGCAACCGUCUAAAUAAAGAGCCAUGUCACAAACAACUCUUUCCAUGUCGUCCAUUUAAUGGGCGGUUCGCCUGGGUUUUGCAGGAAUGCUGGCGGAUCUGUGACAUGUAGUAUUGAUAUAAUUUUCCUAUUUUUGUACUGAAGUUAGUUUACCUCGUUGCUAACUGUAGUGUCUUACGAGACACAGUAAAUAAAUAUUCAUGUACUCGUUACUUCAUUCAACAUACAGCCUGUAGCUUUAUUCAUGCUCAUUUCCCAGCAACUGCCCUUUACUCUCAAGUUAACAGUAAAAGGUAUUCUCAGGUACCUGCUCUCAUGGAGUCAAGUCAUACAGUAUUAUCUAUUAUCAGUAUUGUCUUCUAGAUGACACAAUGAAUAACAAAAACACAACAAAUUUUGUGAAGGAAUGGUAGUAAUACUUUAAUGUUUAUGCUGUCAAUUAUAUACUGAAAUAUGUAGUUAAAUAAUUAUAUAGAAAACUAAAGUUCAAGAGAUUGCCAAAGGCAAACUAAUGUAU
This 8451-nucleotide unclassified non-coding RNA is filed under the name Anneissia japonica. RNAcentral describes it as "protein MMS22-like, transcript variant X3". The record is from RNAcentral. Lineage: Eukaryota; Metazoa; Echinodermata; Crinoidea; Comatulida; Comatulidae.